This 265-nucleotide long non-coding RNA is filed under the name Mytilus galloprovincialis (Mediterranean mussel). Lineage: Eukaryota; Metazoa; Mollusca; Bivalvia; Mytilida; Mytilidae. The record is from RNAcentral.
GGGGUAUAGGACACAUCGUAUAAGUUCUAUUACCUUUCUGUUUGUGAUAUUUUUUAUUAAACUGGUAAUAUUUUAUCUUUUCGUAAUAUGUGCACUUUGGCAUGUCAAUUAGCAUUGUCCCUUGGUGCCUCUUGCAGUUGUGUCACUUUAAAUAGUACUGACUCAUCUGCACCAGGCACGAGGAUGACAUACCAGUUAUGUGCAACUUCUUACAAUAUCUUACCAUAUCAUUAGUGUCCCGAUACACAUUUCAAUAUGCACCCCC